GGCCCCUUAGCUCAGCUGGUUAGAGCGUGGUGCUAAUAACACCAAGGUCGCGGGUUCGACCCCCGUUCAGGCCA
RNAcentral lists this transfer RNA (74 nucleotides) under Albula goreensis. It matches the Rfam family "tRNA". Rfam says of the family: Transfer RNA (tRNA) molecules are approximately 80 nucleotides in length. Their secondary structure includes four short double-helical elements and three loops (D, anti-codon, and T loops). Further hydrogen bonds mediate the characteristic L-shaped molecular structure. tRNAs have two regions of fundamental functional importance: the anti-codon, which is responsible for specific mRNA codon recognition, and the 3' end, to which the tRNAs corresponding amino acid is attached (by aminoacyl-tRNA synthetases). tRNAs cope with the degeneracy of the genetic code in two manners: having more than one tRNA (with a specific anti-codon) for a particular amino acid; and 'wobble' base-pairing, i.e. permitting non-standard base-pairing at the 3rd anti-codon position. The record is from Rfam by way of RNAcentral. Lineage: Eukaryota; Metazoa; Chordata; Actinopteri; Albuliformes; Albulidae.